UUUUUUUUUUUAUCUUUUUGCCUUUUCUAGGGCCACUUCCUGAGGCAUAUGGAGGUUCCCAGGAAAGCAUCUGCUGACUUUGAUGGACUCCUAUCCCAACUUCGAUUUGGGAGUAAUUAAAGACCAUGUGGGAGGGGCAAUCACAAUAACAACUGAAACAUCGGCUCCAUUAUCUGUUAAUCCCCUGAUAUUUUUUUCCAUUAACCGUAAUAGUCAUUCGUGGACGUUCAGUUGUGACUUCCUGAGUCCAAAAGACUUGAGAAGUCCCUGCACUUCCAAUCCUGAUGUUCCCCUUUCUUUAUGAGGACUCUGUCCUAUUUUAAGAUAUGGCAGCAGUAACAAUUGAGCAAUCCUCCUUCCAGGAUGCAAAGGAAGUAGGGUUUUGGAUUUCAUCAUCACUUUAAUCUCUCCUUGACAGUCUGCAUCUAUCACUCCAGGCAAAACUUGUAAGCCUCUCAAGGUUAAGCCACUUCUCCCUCUAAUGAGGCCUACGGUGUCCGGAGGAAGAGGGCCACAAAUUCCUGGAGGGACUGCCUGAAAGCCCUGUUCAUACGUUAAAACAGCUGCUGUGGCGCCCGGCAAGUCCAACGCUUGGGAAGCCCCUGGGAGGGAUCGGAUGCCUUUUCGGUUGGAGCCACAAAAGCCCACAUUGUUGGACGGGGCCGGGGCUGGCCCUGGUUCCCGUAUCCCGACACCAGAGUGGUUAAUGGAGUACCAUUUCGGUGAAACUUAGAUCGGCAUUGAUUAGCCCAGUGCUUCCCUUUCUGACAGCGAGGACAUAAGCCAGGGUUCUGACUGGGUCCUGGAGAUGAUCCUGUUGCAGAGGGUGACUUUUCUUUUGGGGGGGCUCGGCAUUCUCUCUGAAAGUGUCCUGCCUUUCCACAGUUAAAGCAUGUCUUUCCUGAGCGGCCAAGUGCUCUUUUCAAUGCUGCAGCAAGCAGCUCUUGAGUAUGACCUACACUCCCUACAUCCUGACAUGCCUUAAUAUAAUCAAAGAGGUCUCCUGAAUUUCUUACAGGGGCCAUUGCCCUUCUACAGUCUUUAUUUGCGUUUUCGUAUGCCAAUAGUUUAAUUAAAAUAUCAGCCACCUGAGAAUGGGCUACUUGGCGAUGGACGGCCUGUGUUAGGCGGUCCACAAAUUGUGAGUAAGGUUCUGUAGGGCCUUGAAGGCAACGUGUAAAAGAUCCUUGUGGCUUUCCUGUCCCAGGAAUUGUCUUCCACGCUCUUUGGGCGGCCAGGCUCAACUGCUCAUACGCCAGAGGAUCAUAAGCCAGUUGUUUUGUUACGUCAAGAAAAGGGCCUGUCCCCACCAACAUUUCAAAAGUAAUUGGAACAUGAUCUCUUUUAUUUAAGCAAGCCUGUUCCCGACAAAAAUCUGAAAGACUAGACUUCCAAAUUAAAUAAUCUAUACCAUCCAGGGUGGCUUUGGCUAUCAUAUGCCAGUCCCACGGGGGAAGCUGGAGUGUCCCCACGCUUUCUACCAAGCGCAUCGUAAAGGGAGCUGUCACUCCGUUCUGUAUCACACUCUCCCGGAGAGCUUUAAGAUCUUUAAAAUCAAAAGUGUUCUGCGCAUGGAUAUUUCGUCCUGGGACUUGAGGAUUGGGGACAAUAGGUAUAGGGCACGCUAAAAAGGUCCGAUCCUCUAGACUAGCUGACUUUAAGGCUGAUUGAAGGGGAGUUAGUGCUGCCGCCACAGCUAACGGCCUAUUUAAACUCUCAUCAAGAAAGGGAUCGGCCUGAGGGGGAGCAGAAGCUAUAGGCUUUUCUUUAUGUUCCCGUAAGGGCUCCAAAACACGUCUUACUAGUUCCCAUGUAGAAAAAACAGAAACAGAAAGAGAGGCCCCCGACCGAUGGGCGUGCCUUAAAUUUUUCCCCACGAGAUCCCAGCAUUCCGGGUCCACAGUACCCUCGCCUGGAAACCAAGGGUUAUAUUUGAGCACGGCUUCUAACAAUUCCUCGAUCUCAGACCCUGUUACCUGAGCCCCCGACCAUUUCAACACACAUUUCAGCAACUGAAUAUAAUGUUUCGUUUCCUGUGAUUGAUUCUGCCCCAUUGUUAUCCUGGCUUAAAGUUUCUACUUACUCACGGUUGCGAUUCCGUCGAGUGCAAUGCUACCGUCUCCGCCGUCUGUAGUUGCACUUUUUCCUGCUCGUGGCCCAACUUCUCUUUCCUCUGCUCGUGGCAGUGUUAUGGCAGCUGCCCAGAAGCCCUGGGCCGCAGCGUAUCAGUUCUGGCGACAGCCCUGUGGCUGUCGUGUCCCAGCUCCAGCAGCUCUGUGGCUGCAGUGGAUCAGCUCUUUGACCCGGCGAGAAACCAAGCGAGCACUUGGAGAGUUGGAGAACUCAGGUUUAUGACGCCGGUGGGCUCAGAGGAGAUCGCUCUCCAGAGUCU
This 2392-nucleotide long non-coding RNA is filed under the name Sus scrofa (pig). Its description in RNAcentral is "lncRNA (ENSSSCG00015061508.1)". The record is from RNAcentral. Lineage: Eukaryota; Metazoa; Chordata; Mammalia; Artiodactyla; Suidae.